Diplonema papillatum is the source of this 108-nucleotide non-coding RNA. Lineage: Eukaryota; Euglenozoa; Diplonemea; Diplonemida; Diplonemidae. The record is from the annotation of a GenBank genome assembly.
CCAGGCAAACAACACACCCGAAAACCCGUAAAUUGGAUCGAUACAGAGAAGAUUAGCAUGGUCCCUGCGCAAGGAUGACACGCAUUAAUCGAGAAAGUAUCACCUUUU